UUUAAAGAGAGUUUGAUCCUGGCUCAGGACGAACGCUGGCGGCGUGCCUAAUACAUGCAAGUCGAACGAACGGAGGAAGAGCUUGCUCUUCCAAAGUUAGUGGCGGACGGGUGAGUAACACGUGGGCAACCUGCCUGUAAGUUGGGGAUAACUCCGGGAAACCGGGGCUAAUACCGAAUGAUAAAGUGUGGCGCAUGCCACGCUUUUGAAAGAUGGUUUCGGCUAUCGCUUACAGAUGGGCCCGCGGUGCAUUAGCUAGUUGGUAGGGUAAUGGCCUAC
Molecule: ribosomal RNA, 279 nt
Filed under: Listeria monocytogenes
Lineage: Bacteria; Bacillati; Bacillota; Bacilli; Caryophanales; Listeriaceae
Description: partial 16S ribosomal RNA
Rfam family: Bacterial small subunit ribosomal RNA
Source: RNAcentral